UCAUUUUAUGUACAGUAAAAAUUCACAUAGUUUAUAUUGACUGGAAAAUAAAUACAAAUAAAUAAACAAAUUGUGCGAGUCAGGCCGGCACGUUGCGCAUACGACGCGUUGUCUCCGCUUGCAGUUAAUUUGUAGAGCUCACGUUGGGGCCCCAGCCUCACUUCACUUCACUUUGGGGCUGUUUAUCUUAAAUGUUUACGCUGUAUUUUCACAACGGCAUUUUCGUAGAAGUUUUCAAUUGUUGCAUGAAGUGCACCGUGUCUAGAAAAAUUUCCCGUGUAGGCGGAUCAAGUCCCCACUACCCUACGCCGUAGCUUCUUCUAUUAUACAUUUGCCUGUUAAUCAUUAUUUCAAUUUUGAAUUCCUACACUAUGCGAAGCUGUGCUACAGUCCCUGUUUACUUAGCCCGACUCGUCUCAUUACGAAUGCAGUCGCAGAUUGCAGCUCUAAACGAAAUUAACAUAAAUUUUUAUGAGCUCUUCCCGGUAAACGAGAAACGCAACGAGCAUAAACAAGAAGAAAAAAUAUAUUUCCUCGACGACUCUGGGCCAUGACUGUUUCAUUUUUUUUAUGCUAAACUUUGCUACCACUUCCCAAUCUCAGUGCACCGUCCGCCAGUCGGAGUCGUUGUCGGAGUCCCUCUCCUAGGCCUGGUCACAUUAUCGAUCGCUAGUUCGACCAGAGUCUGACUGUUCGCUAAACUAUUGCCACUUGAGCAUUGCAAUUCAUCAAUUUAUCAAACGUUUGCACAGCCAAUUCAAUGACGGGCCGCCCGGACGGGCCCACAAUACCCAGCCGAGCCCAGCAGACGGUAUCUGGCUGCCAUUCAGUAUGCUCUUCUCUCUUCGUGCUUUUUGCAAAUCAUCAUCAUUCUUUUGUAUCGUCAUAAAGUCGUUUGUAUCUAUCAGAAA
This is a non-coding RNA of Drosophila virilis, 911 nucleotides long. NCBI's taxonomy places the organism in Eukaryota, Metazoa, Arthropoda, Insecta, Diptera, Drosophilidae. The record is from RefSeq and is a predicted model, not a curated record.